GAUGAAUUUGGUCCUAGUUCACGGCCUUGGCUCAGGCUAUACUAAACACAUGGUACCUCAGGGGCUCCAGUGAGUAAAUAAGUUUUAAUGAAAUCAGUUUAACACUAUUGACAUUUAAGCCUUAUAAAGCAUUAUUUUUAAAUAUCAUGCUUAACUUACGUUCACUAAUACACGCCAGUGUUGAAGAUUAAGAUAUAAAUUAGAGUUUGAAUUAGUAAUUAGCCUCUUAAAGCCUGGUAAAGCUUGUGCCAGCCACCGCGGUUAAACAAGCGAGCUAAGUCAAGGAAACACAGUAAAAAGGGGGUUAAAUGGCCUGCCACUAUCUAUAAGAACUUAUCUUUUUCCAAUGAGUAAAAUCUUAAUUAAAAUGCUACAACCUAUUGUUCUUAUUUACAUUGACACCCCGAAACCUUAAACCAAAACCGGGAUUAGAUACCCCGCUAUUUAAGGCGUAAAAUUUAACAUAACAAAACGUUUACUAGAGUACUACGAGCAUCCCGCAAAUCAGUUAAUUGCGGAUCUAUUAACUUAAAACUUAAAAGACUUGGCGGUGCCUUAAAUCCAUCCGGGGGAACCUGUCCUAUAAUCGAUAAUCCACGUUUAACCUCACCUCCUCUUGAACUUAUUACACUCAGCCUGUAUACCGUCGUCAUCAGAUCACCUUCAAAGAGAAUAUAAGUUAUCAAAAAGAAUUUACCAUAGACUUCACAGUUUAUCUCUUCAUUCCUUAUGUCAGAUCAAGGUGCAGCCAAUGGGGAGGUAGAGAUGGGUUACAAUAGUUACUUACUAUUACGGAUUUUUAUUUGCAAAUAAUAAAAUUAAGGAGGACUUGGUAGUAAUGGGGCACAAAAUAAUAGAUAGACCUCAUGAAACAGGCUCUAAGGCGUGCACAUAUCGCCCGUCACUCUCGUUGAAAAAUGAGAUAAGUCGUAACACAGUAAGGGUACCGGAAGGUGCCUUUGAAUAAUU
RNAcentral lists this non-coding RNA (969 nucleotides) under Phasianella australis. The record is from RNAcentral. Lineage: Eukaryota; Metazoa; Mollusca; Gastropoda; Trochida; Phasianellidae.